Molecule: ribosomal RNA, 51 nt
Filed under: Bipolaris maydis (southern corn leaf blight pathogen)
Lineage: Eukaryota; Fungi; Ascomycota; Dothideomycetes; Pleosporales; Pleosporaceae
Description: partial 28S ribosomal RNA
Source: RNAcentral
UUGACCUCGGAUCAGGUAGGGAUACCCGCUGAACUUAAGCAUAUCAAAGUC